Molecule: ribosomal RNA, 414 nt
Filed under: uncultured organism
Description: bacterial SSU rRNA
Rfam family: Bacterial small subunit ribosomal RNA
Source: RNAcentral
CCACAAUGGACGAAAGUCUGAUGGAGCGACGCCGCAUGAUUGAUGAAAUCCCUUUGGGAUGUAAAGAUCUUUUAUGAGGGAAGAAGUUUAUUGACUGUACCUCAUGAAUAAGAGGCUCCUAAUCUCGUGCCAGCAGGAGCGGUAAUACGAGAGCCUCAAGCGUUAUCCGGAAUUAUUGGGCGUAAAGGGUGCGUAGGUUGUUUGUUAGUCUUUGUCAAAUCCCGGGGCUUAACCUCGGACUUGCGAAAGAAACGGCAAAACUUGAAAGUGUGAGAGGCGUACGGAACUCAUGGUGUAGGGGUGAAAUCCGUUGAUAUCAUGGGGAACACCGAAAGCGAAAGCAGUACGCUGGCGCAUAUUUGACACUGAAGCACGAAAGCGUGGGUAGCGAAUGGGAUUAGAUACCCCCGUAGU